AGAAUCAACGCUGGCGGCGUGCCUAACACAUGCAAGUCGAACGAGAAAGUGGAGCAAUCCAUGAGUAAAGUGGCGCACGGGUGAGUAACACGUGACUAACCUACCCUUGAGUGGGGAAUAACUUCGGGAAACCGAGGCUAAUACCGCAUAACACCUACGGGUCAAAGGAGCAAUUCGCUUAAGGAGGGGUCGCGGCAGAUUAGCUAGUUGGCGGGGUAAUGGCCCACCAAGGCAGUGAUCUGUA
This 244-nucleotide ribosomal RNA is filed under the name uncultured bacterium. RNAcentral's name for it is "partial small subunit ribosomal RNA". It matches the Rfam family "Bacterial small subunit ribosomal RNA", at positions 26 to 285 of the family's 1533-position model. The record is from RNAcentral.